RNAcentral lists this ribosomal RNA (299 nucleotides) under uncultured Pseudomonas sp. RNAcentral describes it as "partial 16S ribosomal RNA". It matches the Rfam family "Bacterial small subunit ribosomal RNA", at positions 1083 to 1382 of the family's 1533-position model. The record is from RNAcentral. Lineage: Bacteria; Pseudomonadati; Pseudomonadota; Gammaproteobacteria; Pseudomonadales; Pseudomonadaceae.
CGUCCGUAACGAGCGCAACCCUUGUCCUUAGUUACCAGCACGUUAUGGUGGGCACUCUAAGGAGACUGCCGGUGACAAACCGGAGGAAGGUGGGGAUGACGUCAAGUCAUCAUGGCCCUUACGGCCUGGGCUACACACGUGCUACAAUGGUCGGUACAAAGGGUUGCCAAGCCGCGAGGUGGAGCUAAUCCCAUAAAACCGAUCGUAGUCCGGAUCGCAGUCUGCAACUCGACUGCGUGAAGUCGGAAUCGCUAGUAAUCGUGAAUCAGAAUGUCACGGUGAAUACGUUCCCGGGCCUU